UUUCCGUAGGUGAACCUGCGGAAGGAUCAUUAUUGUAUAACCGAGGUGCGAGGGCUGUCGCUGACCCGAAAGGUCGUGGACGCCCGAGUGCCCUCACACACAUCCACCUCACCCCUCAGUGCACCACCGCGUGGGUCCCCCUUUGGCUUGUUCGGAGGGGGGCUUACGUUUUCACACAAACUUUGUAUGCAGUGUAGAAUGUAUUUUUUGUUUUUGCGAUCACGCAAUCAAUACAACUUUCAACAACGGAUCUCUUGGCUCUC
This 263-nucleotide unclassified non-coding RNA is filed under the name plant metagenome. Its description in RNAcentral is "partial contains small subunit ribosomal RNA, internal transcribed spacer 1, and 5.8S ribosomal RNA". The record is from RNAcentral.